AAUUAAUUAGCUUAUUUGAAAGCUUUAACUUUGAAAGUUAAUGAAAAAGAAUAAUUCUCUUUAUUAAUUU
This 70-nucleotide transfer RNA is filed under the name Aeolothrips xinjiangensis. RNAcentral describes it as "tRNA-Ser". The record is from RNAcentral. Lineage: Eukaryota; Metazoa; Arthropoda; Insecta; Thysanoptera; Aeolothripidae.